RNAcentral lists this ribosomal RNA (393 nucleotides) under uncultured bacterium. RNAcentral describes it as "partial 16S ribosomal RNA". It matches the Rfam family "Bacterial small subunit ribosomal RNA", at positions 523 to 918 of the family's 1533-position model. The record is from RNAcentral.
AUACGGAGGAUCCGAGCGUUAUCCGGAUUUAUUGGGUUUAAAGGGAGCGCAGGCGGAGAUGCAAGCGUGACGUCAAAUUUCGGGGCUCAACCCCGUCUCGCGUCGCGAACUGCGUCCCUUGGUUGCGGGAAGGGGAGGCGGAACUCGUGGUGUAGCGGUGAAAUGCAUAGAUAUCACGAAGAACUCCGAUCGCGAAGGCAGCCUUCCGGCCCGUCAACGACGCUCAUGCUCGAAGGUGCGGGUAUCAAACAGGAUUAGAUACCCUGGUAGUCCGCACAGUAAACGAUGGACACCCGCGGUUUGGCCUGUAUGGCUGAGCCGCCAAGCGAAAGCGUUAAGUAAUCCACCUGGGGAGUACGUUCGCAAGAAUGAAACUCAAAUGAAUUGGCGGGG